RNAcentral lists this ribosomal RNA (253 nucleotides) under uncultured bacterium. RNAcentral describes it as "partial 16S ribosomal RNA". It matches the Rfam family "Bacterial small subunit ribosomal RNA", at positions 524 to 776 of the family's 1533-position model. The record is from RNAcentral.
UACGUAGGCAGCGAGCGUUGUUCGGAAUUACUGGGCGUAAAGAGUGUGUAGGCGGUGUUCCCAGUCUGUUGUGAAAUCUCCCGGCUUAACUGGGAGGGUGCAGCGGAAACUAGAAUGCUAGAGGGUGGGAGAGGUAAGCGGAAUUCCUGGUGUAGCGGUGAAAUGCGUAGAUAUCAGGAGGAACACCGGUGGUGUAAACGGCUUUCUGGACCAUAACUGACGCUGAGGCACGAAAGCGUGGGUAGCAAACAGG